AAAAUUUGUUUUCCUUUUUUAAAAUAAAUAAAAGAAACCAUAUUUCUAAAUAGGGCGUGCAAUACAUAAUCGAACCGUAAAUUGCAUUGUUUUUUACACUUUUUGCACUCUCUGGCUUUUGAUUGAGAAUACUUUUACUGCGGCCGCCAUGCACUUUGAAGCUAGGGUUUUAGAGAUCGAACAAAGGUUUUUCUUGCAAAUCUUUAUGUGGUCAUCUCAUGGAGUAGACAAUGAGAUGCUCAAACCAACGAAGUUGAUCAUAAGAUUCUUCUGCAAAACUCAUCAACCUAUUUAGGCAAUGAUGGGUUCUUUCUUUCCCUUCUUCAUACAUUCUUAUGUUUCUUUUGUGUUUACUCUUCUAUGAUCAAUGUGAUCUUUUCUCAUCUACUCCCACGGCUUGUGUGGGAUCUUGUAAAUAGUUUGUUCUUUAAAAAUAAAAAUGUAUUACAUGCAAAUGUUUUAUUCAUGUA
Molecule: long non-coding RNA, 470 nt
Organism: Cryptomeria japonica (Japanese cedar)
Lineage: Eukaryota; Viridiplantae; Streptophyta; Pinopsida; Cupressales; Cupressaceae
Exons: 2
Source: RefSeq, a predicted model, not a curated record